GUUCUCUGACGUCAAGCUUUCUGCGGAGGCGGCCAGUGCCUGCGGGACUGUGCAGGAGCUUGUGGGGACCGGAAGCGUGCAAAGUACCCAGCGCCCGGGAGGGACCAGCUGCUCCCGCGCCCGCCAGUCUGCGAUCCGGGCCCAGGCUGGCGCUGCCUUUCCUGUUUCCUGGCUUUUUCUCCUGACCCGUGUCUGACAACGCCGGCCCCAGCACGAGGACCGCUGCGGGGCUUGGGGACGCGGCCUGCGACGCCAUGCAGUGGAGCACCAUCGGGGCUGGAACCGCCAGAGAGAUGCAGAGAUAACCGGGCCUCGGUCCCAAGCCCGGCCCUAUGCUCCCCCACUUCGCGCUCCACCUGCCCUGCAUGUGGGCCACUGGGACCUGAGACCGGCCCCAUGCUCCCUCCACCACACCCGCGUCCAGCCCCUAACAGGAGUCAUUUAAUUUGGUAGGACAGACAGAGAUUGAGAGAGGACAGAAGGAAAGGCACCUGCAGACCUGAUUCUCCAGGUGAGGAGCAGGGACUCGAACCUGGUCCUUGUGCUUGGUGACAUGUGCGCUUAACCGGGGGCAGCACCGCCCGGACCCAACAAGAUUUAUUUUCCCAUCCCUGUGCCUACAUCACUUCACGACUCCCGGGAGAGAAGGACAGAUGGUCAGAGGAGCGACAGUAACUUGCUUUGCAGGUGCCACGUGGUGCACAGAGGCUGGAACCAGGCGCUCCCAUGGGCCAAGGAUGAGCUCUGUAUCUGGGAGCCAGCUCCCAACACCACCGCCUCCGACCUGUCAGAUCUAUCCUGCAAAGAUUUCAUCUCGCAAAGAAUUUAUCCAGCAAAAGAAAAAUCUAGCAAAAAAAAAAAAAAAAAAAAAACCUAUCUUUAAAAAAAUCUGUUCCAUUCUUCCCAUUACUGCUGUCAUCUUCCGAGCUACCAUCACCUCCUGCUUAGUCUUCUGCUUGUCUGAGAUCCAUGUCCACCAGUUCCAUCCAAGGUCUUUAUCUUUGUUGGUGUUUAGAAAAAAGUUACAGCUACCCAUUCUCGAAUUAUGCAUUGACUUCGUUCACACAUUCUGCUGGAAAAUGCACAUCUCAAAUCAGAGUAGUCGCAGUCCCAGUGUUCAAAGUCAGAAUUGACUGGUGGCUUCUACAUUGGACAGUACAAGCCUAGUAUACUCAGUGAACACUGGAUUGAUGUGAUUUACCCAAAGAAUCAAAACUGGAGUGGUGGUGCAGUCGAUAAAGCAUUGGAUUCUCAAGCAUGAGGUCCCAAGUUCAAUCCGAGGCAGCACAUGUACCAGAGUGAUGUCUGGUUCUUUCUCUCUUCUGUCUUUCUCAUGAAUAAAUAAAUUCUGUUUUUAAAAAAAGAAUAAUUUUCUGGGGUCAAAGAGACAGCUAUAGAACUCGCAUGUCUGAGGCUACAGAUUCAAUACAUGGCACUACCUUAUGCCAGAGUUA
Erinaceus europaeus (western European hedgehog) is the source of this 1454-nucleotide long non-coding RNA. RefSeq lists it as uncharacterized. The record is from RefSeq and is a predicted model, not a curated record. The transcript is spliced from 3 exons. NCBI's taxonomy places the organism in Eukaryota, Metazoa, Chordata, Mammalia, Eulipotyphla, Erinaceidae.